Molecule: long non-coding RNA, 231 nt
Filed under: Carica papaya (papaya)
Lineage: Eukaryota; Viridiplantae; Streptophyta; Magnoliopsida; Brassicales; Caricaceae
Description: long non-coding RNA (CPAP_LNC009327)
Source: RNAcentral
GUAAUAAAAUUUCACAUAUAUAGCAAUUAUUAUAAAAUGUGAAAAGAGAAGUAUACCAUCUUUAUUUUAAUUAAUCAUAAAACAUAGGAUAAAUGCAAUUGCUUUACGUAAUAGUUAGAUAAGUGAGUCUGUAGUAGCAACUUUCUUUCAAAUAACACAACUUUCUCUCCAACAAUUUAUUUUGGGAGAGAGGGGAGGAGGGAGAGGGAGAAAACCAUGAUUAAGACUUNN